Molecule: long non-coding RNA, 321 nt
Filed under: Sorghum bicolor (sorghum)
Lineage: Eukaryota; Viridiplantae; Streptophyta; Magnoliopsida; Poales; Poaceae
Description: long non-coding RNA (SBIC_LNC012737)
Source: RNAcentral
UGUGUAUGUGUAAAGUGUGCAGAGUAUGUACCUGAAUCGUGGAGUGGUGUAGUCGAAGUGCAUUUGGUGUGUCGAGGGAUCUCCCCCAUACUUGUUUUCUGCUUUCUUGCAUAAAAGUAAAGUAGAGACACACAAGACAUAAUAAUAAUAAUAAUCUUUAUUAAUCUUGAGGCAUUUAUUACAAAUGACUAGUAAUGAACUGAAGCUAAUAAUAGAUCUAAACUGAAUUUAAAGAUAAAUAACUAUGAUGCACUGCCUCAAGAUCUAAUCUAGAUAACUUAGCGGCGCUCUAACUCCCUGAUCUUCUUAUUUGCACUAGCG